This 301-nucleotide ribosomal RNA is filed under the name uncultured bacterium. RNAcentral describes it as "partial 16S ribosomal RNA". It matches the Rfam family "Bacterial small subunit ribosomal RNA", at positions 509 to 807 of the family's 1533-position model. The record is from RNAcentral.
CAGCAGCCGCGGUAAUACGAAGGGUGCAAGCGUUACUCGGAUUUACUGGGCGUAAAGCGUGCGUAGGCGGCUUUUUAAGUCGGAUGUGAAAUCCCUGAGCUUAACUUAGGAAUUGCAUUCGAUACUGGGAAGCUAGAGUAUGGGAGAGGAUGGUAGAAUUCCAGGUGUAGCGGUGAAAUGCGUAGAGAUAUGGAGGAAUACCGAUGGCGAAGGCAGCCAUCUGGCCUAAUACUGACGCUGAGGUACGAAAGCAUGGGGAGCAAACAGGAUUAGAUACCCGAGUAGUCCCUGUCUCUUAUAC